RNAcentral lists this transfer RNA (72 nucleotides) under Anaerolineae bacterium. Its description in RNAcentral is "tRNA-Gln". It matches the Rfam family "tRNA". Rfam says of the family: Transfer RNA (tRNA) molecules are approximately 80 nucleotides in length. Their secondary structure includes four short double-helical elements and three loops (D, anti-codon, and T loops). Lineage: Bacteria; Bacillati; Chloroflexota; Anaerolineae. The record is from RNAcentral.
UGGGGCGUGGCCAAGCGGCAAGGCGGCGGACUUUGAAUCCGUAAUUCGUAGGUUCGAAUCCUACCGCCCCAG